This is a long non-coding RNA of Passer domesticus (house sparrow), 6143 nucleotides long. RefSeq lists it as uncharacterized. The record is from RefSeq and is a predicted model, not a curated record. The transcript is spliced from 2 exons. NCBI's taxonomy places the organism in Eukaryota, Metazoa, Chordata, Aves, Passeriformes, Passeridae.
UAGCCUGGAAGAGUGACAAGGACAUGGACACGAGUUAGUGCCACGUGCACCGUGAGAGGAGGGAAGCACAGCUUGGGGCCUGGGAUCCCACAGGACAGCACAGCACAGCGUUCAUGGAAGGACAAGAGUGUUCAGCAUCAAAGCCUUGCCAGCACGUGCACAGUUUUCAGUGGGUGUUUGUGUCAUCAUGGCUGGCACUCCAUUCACUUGUGGGCAAAGCUGUGCACUUGCAAGUGAAGUGCAAGAAUCAGAGCACAGCUCUCUUGGGACUCAGUCGUUAUCUGAACAGGACAUCAAAACAAUGAGUGGGCAGUGAUCCUACUAAGUGUGCACUAGAAGGGAUGCAAUCCUCUUGGUUUGGGUUUUUCCUUUUAAUAGCACUUGGAAAAAAGUAUUCCAUGUGUCUUCCAGCUGCUCUUAAGACACAGAAGAAAUCUGGAUCCUACAUUUAUGGCUCUCCACAGAGUGCAGGUCUGAGGAAGCAUGGCUGGGGCAGGUCAGGCUCACAGGACACAAGGAAAGAGCUGUGAACCUCAGCCCACCAAAGCCCACCAGGCCAAGCUGGUUGCUGCUUGCCAGGCUGCCAGAAAGCCACAGCAGUAGGGAAGAAUUUCCCUGUCCUUCUUUCAUAAUGCCAAACUUCCACAGCUAUUGCAAACCUCCAGAGCUGCACAUCCCUGUGGAAAGGAGCAGGUUUGCCAUUCUACCAGAGCUACAGCAUUUAUUGCCUACCCCAAUGGACACGAAAAUUUCCUAUUAUGACCCAUUACAGCCUGCUUUUGCAACUGGCCACUCAAGGCCCACAUGCACACGUUCAUUUUACUGUUUACUGCAGUCCAGCUCCUCCUUACAUUAUUCUGUAUUCUAGUUUCCUUCAUCCCAGCUGAUUUGGGUUGGGUCUUUAGAAAAGCAUCCGUGUGAACUUGAGCACAAUGUUCUGAGCCUUGGUCUGAGCCCCCAGGACCCCAGAGCCCACCCACCACAACUGGAAUAAGCAGCAGCAGCAGCAGCAGCAGCAGCUGAGGGAGCACAUGGAACAAGAUGCAGUUUAGCAAAUGCCUGUGCCUGACACAGAAAAUUGAGCCCUUACACAGAGUGGGGUCUCCACUGGAGGGCUGAUCCUCGUGCUUGAAGCACCAGACCUGGCUCUGUUCUCUGCCCCAUAGAGGGGUCUGUGGGGCCAUUGGGAAAUGACUUUUUCUGGGCCUUGGUGGAAAAUGAGGUCAGAUUCUGCUGUCUGCAGAAAUCUAGCACGUAGUGAAUGUCCAGAGGUUCUGGAGGAUGACCUCGGCUUGUUUAUCUGUGUCGGGCCAAGUGGAGUGACCAGUAUUUUGAUAAGUUUUGUGAGUGUUUAUGUUAUGCUAAUUUCUAUUGGACGAGCCUGUAUACAGGGUGGAUACAGAACCACAGAUGGAUAAAACCCAAGAUAAGCAUACACCCCAGAAAUCAUUAUUAGAUUCCAGAUAGAGUAAACUAUCCAAAGUCCUGAACAGAAAAUAAAAAUUUAUUGACUGUUAAUGUGAUUCAUGGAACAGCUGUUUGCCAGUCACACUGGGCAUUCCUGCGAGAUGAGAUCUCAUUUAAUAUUAAUGGUGCUAUAAAAGCCUGAAAAAAAUUAAUGCAUAGCCUUGAUGAAUCUUGCAAACCUGAAUGGUUCUAUUUUACACACUAAAAGAUGAGAUAUAUAUUUCAUGCAUGUUUAUGUUUCAGCCUUUUAAGUAUUUGCAUGCCUCAAUAACCACUCUAAAAACAAAAAUACUAAACAGAAACAUUUCAUGAUAGUUUAGGCCCAGACAGAAAAAUCAACUGUUGUUGAAGUUGGUGUCUUGCCACAGUAUUAUUCUUUACUGCUACAAUUUCUUUUGGAAAGUUUAUUUAGUCUGUUCUUUAAAUAUUGCAGGCUGUCAAUCUAAGCUUGAAAUUUGAUGUUAACAUGAAAAACCCCUAUGUUUUAGUAAUAUCAAACUUAUGAGUGGCACUAAAGAAUUCAAAGCUGAAGUUGAAACUUCAUCUUAAAUGUUUCCCUUGUGUUGGUUACUGAUGCAUGCACUUCCCAGAAUGGAACGGCAGACAAAUGCGUGCACACUUGCUCUGAACAGAGUCUCCUUUAAUACAAAACAAACAGGAAAGUCAACUCUAAUUUUGUGGUCUGACUCAGGCACCAAUUCAAAAAGCACUUAAACAUAUGUUUUCAGUAUCACUCUUAACCGAGGUGCCCUCCUGAGUGCAGACAUGAAGAGAACUUUCUUGGAGAUACGUAAGUAAAGAUUGCAGCAAAUGGUUGUGUUUGAUUUCAGCAAUUCUGUCAAUUAUUAAUUUUAAAGAUAGAAAAAAAAAUAAUAAAAUACUGAAGUAUUGUAGUAACGCAGCCAUUAUAACUUUGACCUGAUUAUAAAAGCCUGCCUGAGCACACCUGCAAUGUGCAAUGAACAGACCACACAAAUAAUGUAGGCAGUGCCUUGUCAGCUCUCCUGAAGGUGGGUGUUGCCUAUGGCAUCCAGCAGAAUGGAAGAGACUUUCUCUAUCAGUCAAAUACAGCAGGAUUAAAAAAAAUUCUGAUUUCCUUCUGGAGUUUUUAUAGAUGAAAACUAAUUUCAGGACUGUUAUUUAUACAAACAUGUUUUUGUCAUAACAUUGAAAAUAAAAUGUGUUCUUUGCCCCUCCUGCUACAAAUAUCAUACGGAUAACUCCUUAUAGGUGGAAUAAAUUACCUGUUGAAGCUAAAGGUGCAUUGAGUAUGUGAUAGCCAUUCUGCCUCAGAGGAUUGAAGCAAUGGGAUUCCCCUGUGAGCACAUCACUGCUGACAGACUGGUCCAUUGUUCUGUAGCAAUCUCCGUAGUGGAAACAGUUUUGUAUGGAGUGAAAGCUGCCUUGGUAACCUGAAAGCAGAUAUUGCACACAGUUCAAUCCUGCAAUGUCACAGCAUUUCAUUACUGCUGGGGGGUUUAGUUCCUCAGUUUUAACUUUGGAAAAAAUGAUUGUCCAGACUUGGUCCCACAAGGUGCUGUGGACUGUGAUCCCCAUCAAGCAAAAAUCUCAAGGAUGGGCUUCAUUUCAAGCAAUAGAUCAGCUGAACAACAGCACCCUUUGAUCCAAGGUAAGUAGUGAGCCCUCCACUGGAUCAAGUCCAGGAUGCUCAGCUCCUAAGGGAAUGUCUCUAUAAUGAAUCACUGUUAAUUUAAAUACAAUAAUGCGAUAUUUAAAUAAAUACCACUGCUUUGUUUUCUGUUAAGUAAAGUCUUUUGCCAUCCAAUGUGUGCUGUGCACUGGAGACAGCACUGUUUAUCCGAAACACCUUCACAGGUUCCUCAAACUUCCUUCCCAGACUUCUCUUGAUUCAAAUGAACCCCCUCUCACUGGACACAGGGGACCACAGUGUGCAGGUAAUGACCUAGAAGUGCAGGACUGACUCCAGACAGUUGUCAGGUGAAGGCUGAGUUCAACCAGAGGCUCUUCUGCUUCUGGAAAGUGCUGAGAUAGAUCUGUAUGGUCUCUGCUUGCCUCAGUUAUUCUGCUUUUGGGGCAUGUUUGACUUUGGUCUUCCAUGUACCCAACAUUUCUUAGAUCCUGGUUUUUGGUUUUUUUCCCAAGUAUGGUAUUAUCAGUACCCAGCAGUUUGGGUUUUGCCAUCAGAAGUUGUGAAUGAGUUGUAGACAACAAAAGAAGACAUUUAACAGUAAAGGACAAAUGAAUUUCUGAGGAAGGAAUUUUGCAAUUUAGAAGUUUUUCCAAUAUCCUCAAACAUUGUCAUUUGUUCCCCUAAGGAUGAUCUCAAAGUAUGUUACAAUAUUUAAACCAACCAUGGCCUGAUUUAAUUCUCUUCCCUCCUCCUGCCUCAAUAAGCUCUUCCUUAUUCUGGGUGCAAUGCACACUAACUGCACAUUCCUAUCACCUACCCCUUUUCCUACCUUCUCUGAAAUGAUUCUCCUUCCCUUAAGAGCAACUGAAGUCAACCAAAUUAGGCUUAGAGUCUAGCAGAAUGUGCUUCAGGAUUUUCCUCUAAUUGCCAGAAAAAAUAUGGAGUUGUUGUCUUUCUUCCCUCAGUCUUAGAGGGACUGAAACAUUUCGGGGCAGUUCAGCGAAUCCCAGUCACAGCCACAUUUCCAGCUGACAGCUCGGCCCCACUCACAGCAGAGACCCGCCCUGCUGGGCUGCCUGUGCAGCUCUUCAGUCUGUUUGUUCAGGAAUUAAAUCCCUGUGCCUGUCCCCAGAGCACCUGGGGCUAUAUGGGGUGAAUUGUAAGGUUGAACACCCGCACAAUUCCUGCAGUGUGCAAGCUCUUUCCUGUUCAGUAAGAUCCCCCACACUUCCCUGUGUUUUCCCUCUGCUACCAAAGUCUGACCAAGCAGACAAUACCAGGCAAAGCUCGGGGUCUGGUCACUUCAUAUUUUCUAAGUUAGUAAUAAAUGAGGCCAAGUGAGGCAAUUCUUGAGUAGAAAUGCAAUCAGCUCAUUGAGUGGUGAAAGAUUUGCUCUGAAGCUUCCCAGUUUAGUAUGUGCUUUGGCAGAAUCUGCAAGGAUUAGGUGCUUAAUUUCUUGAGAACUUAUGAUCCACUACAAAAUACCUAAAUUGUUGAUGUCCACGAUUAGUGAAGUCCUAAUGGAUGACUCUUAGAUAAAGACACUACACACUCUGUACCAAGGCUGCUCCUUUUUGCUGCUACAGCAAAGGCAGCCCAAAAAUUUGGAAAGCUGAGCAUUAAAUGAUGCAUGCCCUUCCUUGGAAUAAACAGCCAGCCACCUCUAUUUACUGCCUGGAUAGUCUGGCUCAAAGCACCAAGGAGCUCUUAUGAGAGGUAGCACAGCCCUCUUUUGAUGUGGUUUUAGGUACAGUGUGUUAUUGACUGGCUUUGAUACUUAUCCUUUCUGUUUACAAACUCCUUGCUGUAGGCCUUCUAAAAAUACAUCCUUUUGAGAUGAACAGUGAAAAAAAGAGACACUUGGCUUCAAAGGAGGCUCAGCUGGUUGCAGAGAACACUUAGAUGCAUUGCUAGAGGAAAAAAAAUGAACCUUUUCUAGAAUGUCUGCUACAGACAUCAUGUCUAGGGAAGGCAUGACAUGUAUUUUCUCUGUCCCUCCCUUGUGCUCCCAGGCUUGCCUUUGUUACAUCAAUUAAAAAUCUUCAUGAUCUACAGAGCUGGCACAGUGGCUUAGAAAAGCAGAGAGCAGCCAAGCAUGACAGAACUGGAUUGAAACUAGUUGGAUCCAGGGUUUUCCCAAGACCUGUGGGGAAAGGUUUUUGAAGUGUUUUAAGUUACACUGUCUGGAAAUACCUGAAGCAGAGAACUGCCUCAGAAUCAGUCUGGAAAAGAACUGCCACGAGCAAUGAAAUCCUCUUUUGGAUUGCAGUGUUCAUCCCUCAGCAGCACUGUGAGAUAAUCGGAGAAGGCAGAGGAAAAGUGUUCCUGGAACCACCCAGUGGAGAGGGGGCUGUAGGAAAAUCCCGGUGCUACUGCACUGCUGAGUGCACCAGGACCUGACUUCUGCCAGUGCUUCACAGAGAAAACACAGAGAGAUGCACCUUCCCUGUUCUGAGCUGCCUGCAAGGUGGGAUAAAUGCAGGUAUGAAACUAAAGAAAAUACAUGGAAUGAGGAAGGGAAAGGGUGCAGCAGGAACACAAGUCAGGUAGAACAAAGCAUCACACUAAAAAUGGGAUUUCUGACCCUUUGGGUUCAUUGCAUUUAGAUGUGGUUCCUUUACAUUUCUUUAAAUGCUUCACUGAGAAAAUAUGGGGAAUUAAAAUAUGAUUAAAAUCCCAUAACCAAGCAUUGGGUUAACAACCACAUAUGGUUGAUUAAACUAAACAGGGAGCAUUUUUACAAGUUCUUAAAAAGGACUCCCUUCAGGGGUUAAAAUAUAAAGUAAGCAAGAAGGCUGGUCCAGUGCAGACAUCCCUGCUCCUUCUGGAGUGCAAAUCUGGAGUACCAACUUGGCAAUAAGUGUUUCACCAAUAUUUUUUUUGCCACAUGGAUUUCAGGUUUUCCUUCAGUUUUGAUUUAAAUCAAGAAUUUUCUGAGGUUAUUUUCAAGCGAAGAAUUUACUAAAUGCCCUGUCAGUUUAAAUGAUCACGGUUAAAUGUUUUAUGUACAGUAGAUGUAGAAAUAUAACAGUUCAUAAAGGAAUAAACUGAGUUCCAAACAUAA